GACGAACGCUGGCGGCGUGCUUAACACAUGCAAGUCGAACGGAAAGGCCCUGCUUUUGUGGGGUGCUCGAGUGGCGAACGGGUGAGUAACACGUGAGUAACCUGCCCUUGACUUUGGGAUAACUUCAGGAAACUGGGGCUAAUACCGGAUAGGAGCUCCUGCUGCAUGGUGGGGGUUGGAAAGUUUCGGCGGUUGGGGAUGGACUCGCGGCUUAUCAGCUUGUUGGUGGGGUAGUGGCUUACCAAGGCUUUGACGGGUAGCCGGCCUGAGAGGGUGACCGGCGACAUGGGGAAUGAGGUACGGCCCAGACUCGUACGGGAGGCAGGAGUGGGGAAUAUUGCACAAUGGGCGGAAGCCUGAUGCAGCAACGCCGCGUGCGGGAUGACGGCCUUCGGGUUGUAAACCGCUUUCGCCUGUGACGAAGCGUGAGUGACGGUAAUGGGUAAAGAAGCACCGGCUAACUACGU
RNAcentral lists this ribosomal RNA (467 nucleotides) under uncultured bacterium. RNAcentral describes it as "partial 16S ribosomal RNA". It matches the Rfam family "Bacterial small subunit ribosomal RNA", at positions 28 to 506 of the family's 1533-position model. The record is from RNAcentral.